Molecule: long non-coding RNA, 1099 nt
Filed under: Olea europaea subsp. europaea
Lineage: Eukaryota; Viridiplantae; Streptophyta; Magnoliopsida; Lamiales; Oleaceae
Source: RNAcentral
CAUUAUUGAAUUUUACCUAUUUAACACAAAAUGCAGCAAUUUGGCGCAUAGUUCAUCCGAAAAGUAACUAAAUAUCAUCAUUUUAAGGUCUUAAAUAAGUAUAUAAAAUACACUUAUCAUCGUGUAUCCUAUAUACAAUCUCAAUAAUGAGACAAAAAAAUCUAUCUUUAAAGAUAUGUUAAGAAAUUUAGACGUAAAUAUGGAAUUAACACGAUAACAAACAACAUGUCACUUUUAUUGUCUCUAGAUGACUAAGGUAAUUAAUCAAAUCAAUGUAGGUAUUUGGUUUAAAGAUUGAAAAUUUUAGUUAAGUACAAACUUGAAAAUGUUUUUGUGUUGAGUUCAACCAAAUAUUCGGACUUGAUUAGAUAAUCAAAUUAUAAAAAUAAAUAGACUAAAUUGUUCUACUCUUCUAGUAGAUAGUCGUAGUAUAUUUAAAAUCUCAACCAAUUUCCCAUGAAUGAGAAAUUGUGGUCAAAAUUUGGAAGAAAAAAAGAGGAAAAAUUAUAUAGCACUAUCGCUGGAACAGUAGGCUAGCACCAAGUGAGCUGCAAAGCUAUCACUCAAGCUACAGGCUAGCAAUAGACAGUAUUUCUAUCGAAAAUAUGGCACUGGCACUCGAGCGAGAGGCUAACGACAACAAGGGAUGCAUACCUUCUUGAAGGUUACUGAAUUUUAGGGCAUGUUUCUUCACACAACCUCUUCUCUUCUAUAAAUAGGACACUUUGGCCAUCCAUUAUGCAUCCAAUAUCAUUUUUCAUUAAGCAUUAAAUCAAAAAUGUCUUGCAAAACCUCUUCAAAAAUCAUUCCAAAAUAAAUUUCUUGUAGAGAGAAAAAAUUUCGUUCGAGUCCGAUGUUGCUUAUGGUUUUAAAUGCUUCCCCCACAAGUAAUAUCCGUUGUAUAUUGGGAGACAAGUGCUUUAAUCUAUUAACACCAUUGUGGGACAAUUUUAUCUUAAGGAAAAAGUGUUAAUCACUUGCCUUGAAUUUCGUUUCCUCACUUUCAUUUCAUUGCAAGGUUACAUAGAGUUUUAUUGCGCUCUUGAGAAUUAAAUUUAACAAGUAUUUUGUAUAUGGACAAACAACCAUUUCCCUACAC